This 450-nucleotide ribosomal RNA is filed under the name uncultured bacterium. RNAcentral describes it as "partial 16S ribosomal RNA". It matches the Rfam family "Bacterial small subunit ribosomal RNA", at positions 354 to 796 of the family's 1533-position model. The record is from RNAcentral.
GUGGGGAAUCUUCCGCAAUGGACGAAAGUCUGACGGAGCAACGCCGCGUGAGUGAAGAAGGUUUUCGGAUCGUAAAGCUCUUUCGUUAGGGACGAACGUGCUCUUUGUGAAUAAUGAGGAGUAAUGACGGUACCUAAAUAAGAAGCCACGGCUAACUACGUGCCAGCAGCCGCGGUAAUACGUAGGUGGCAAGCGUUGUCCGGAAUUAUUGGGCGUAAAGCGCGCGCAGGGGGGAUAUCAAGUCUGUCUUAAAAGUGCGAGGCUCAACCUCGUGAGGGGACAGAAACUGGUAUUCUUGAGUGUCGGAGAGGAAAGUGGAAUUCCAAGUGUAGCGAUGAAAUGCGUAGAGAUUUGGAAGAACACCAGUGGCGAAGGCGACUUUCUGGACGAUGUCUGACGCUGAGGCGCGAAAGCUAGGGGAGCGAACGGGAUUAGAAACCCGGGUAGUCC